This 98-nucleotide microRNA precursor is filed under the name Ailuropoda melanoleuca (giant panda). RNAcentral's name for it is "mir-544 microRNA precursor family". It matches the Rfam family "mir-544 microRNA precursor family". The record is from Rfam by way of RNAcentral. Lineage: Eukaryota; Metazoa; Chordata; Mammalia; Carnivora; Ursidae.
AUCACUUAGGGAUCUUAUUAAAACUGCAGAUGUUGAUUCAGAAGAUCUAGCAUGGAACCCAAUAUCUGCAUUUCUAGUAAGUUCUCAGGUGACCCUAA